GUGGGGAAUCUUGCGCAAUGGGCGAAAGCCUGACGCAGCCAUGCCGCGUGAAUGAUGGAGGUCUUAGGAUUGUAAAAUUCUUUCACCGGGGACGAUAAUGACGGUACCCGGAGAAGAAGCUCCGGCUAACUUCGUGCCAGCAGCCGCGGUAAUACGAAGGGGGCUAGCGUUGCUCGGAAUUACUGGGCGUAAAGGGCGCGUAGGCGGACAGCUUAGUCAGAGGUGAAAGCCCAGGGCUCAACCUUGGAAUUGCCUUUGAUACUGGCUGUCUUGAGUUUGGGAGAGGUGAGUGGAACUCCGAGUGUAGAGGUGAAAUUCGUAGAUAUUCGGAAGAACACCAGUGGCGAAGGCGACUCACUGGCCCAAUACUGACGCUGAGGCGCGAAAGCGUGGGGAGCAAACAGGAUUAGAUACCCCAGUAGUCC
This 425-nucleotide ribosomal RNA is filed under the name uncultured bacterium. Its description in RNAcentral is "partial 16S ribosomal RNA". It matches the Rfam family "Bacterial small subunit ribosomal RNA", at positions 354 to 796 of the family's 1533-position model. The record is from RNAcentral.